RNAcentral lists this ribosomal RNA (389 nucleotides) under uncultured bacterium. RNAcentral describes it as "bacterial SSU rRNA". It matches the Rfam family "Bacterial small subunit ribosomal RNA", at positions 29 to 419 of the family's 1533-position model. The record is from RNAcentral.
AUUGAACGCUGGCGGCAUGCCUUACACAUGCAAGUCGAACGGCAGCACGGGAGCAAUCCUGGUGGCGAGUGGCGAACGGGUGAGUAAUAUAUCGGAACGUGCCCAGUCGUGGGGGAUAACGUAGCGAAAGCUACGCUAAUACCGCAUACGAUCUACGGAUGAAAGCGGGGGAUCGCAAGACCUCGCGCGAUUGGAGCGGCCGAUAUCAGAUUAGGUAGUUGGUGAGGUAAAGGCUCACCAAGCCGACGAUCUGUAGCUGGUCUGAGAGGACGACCAGCCACACUGGGACUGAGACACGGCCCAGACUCCUACGGGAGGCAGCAGUGGGGAAUUUUGGACAAUGGGCGCAAGCCUGAUCCAGCAAUGCCGCGUGCAGGAUGAAGGCCUGG